GACGAACGCUGGCGGCGUGCUUAACACAUGCAAGUCGAACGAAAAGAGGGAAAGAGCUUGCUCUUUCCGGAAUUGAGUGGCAAACGGGUGAGUAACACGUAAACAACCUGCCUCAGGAUGGGGACAACAGACGGAAACGACUGCUAAUACCGAAUAAGUUCCAAGGGCCGCAUGGCCCAUGGAAGAAAAGGUGGCCUCUACCUGUAAGCUAUCGCCUGAAGAGGGGUUUGCGUCUGAUUAGCUGGUUGGAGGGGUAACGGCCCACCAAGGCGACGAUCAGUAGCCGGUCUGAGAGGAUGAACGGCCACACUGGAAUUGAGACACGGUCCAGACUCCUACGGGAGGCAGCAGUGGGGAAUCUUCCGCAAUGGGCGAAAGCCUGACGGAGCAACGCCGCGUGAGUGAUGACGGCCUUCGGGUUGUAAAACUCUGUGAUCCGGGACGAAAAGGCAGAGUGCGAAGAACAAACUGCAUUGACGGUACCGGAAAAGCAAGCCACGGCUAACUACGUG
Molecule: ribosomal RNA, 512 nt
Filed under: uncultured bacterium
Lineage: Bacteria
Description: partial 16S ribosomal RNA
Rfam family: Bacterial small subunit ribosomal RNA
Source: RNAcentral